UACGUAGGGUGCAAGCGUUGUCCGGAAUUAUUGGGCGUAAAGAGCUUGUAGGCGGUUUGUCGCGUCUGCUGUGAAAUUUCCGGGCUCAACCCCGAACUUGCAGUGGGUACGGGCAGACUAGAGUGUGGUAGGGGAGACUGGAAUUCCUGGUGUAGCGGUGAAAUGCGCAGAUAUCAGGAGGAACACCGAUGGCGAAGGCAGGUCUCUGGGCCAUAACUGACGCUGAGAAGCGAAAGCAUGGGGAGCGAACAGG
Molecule: ribosomal RNA, 253 nt
Filed under: uncultured bacterium
Lineage: Bacteria
Description: partial 16S ribosomal RNA
Rfam family: Bacterial small subunit ribosomal RNA
Source: RNAcentral